UACGUAGGGUGCAAGCGUUGUCCGGAAUUAUUGGGCGUAAAGAGCUCGUAGGCGGUUUGUCGCGUCUGCUGUGAAAACCCGAGGCUCAACCUCGGGCCUGCAGUGGGGUACGGGCAGACUAGAGUGGCGGUAGGGGAGAUUGGAAUUCCUGGUGUAGCGGUGGAAUGCGCAGAUAUCAGGAGGAACACCAAGUGGCGAAGGCAGAUCUCUGGGCCGUAACUGACGCUGAGGAGCGAAAGCAUGGGGAGCGAACAGG
Molecule: ribosomal RNA, 256 nt
Filed under: uncultured bacterium
Lineage: Bacteria
Description: partial 16S ribosomal RNA
Rfam family: Bacterial small subunit ribosomal RNA
Source: RNAcentral